AAUGCUUUAUGCGUCAAAUGGAUUCGUCUGCCCAAGGAUGGGUCUGCGGCCUAUCAGGUAGUAGUGGGUGUAAUGUACCUACUAGCCGACGACGGGUACGGGUUGUGAGAGCAAGAGCCCGGAGAUGGAUUCUGAGACAUGAAUCCAGGCCCUACGGGGCGCAGCAGGCGCGAAAACUUUACAAUGCGGGAAACCGUGAUAAGGGGACACCGAGUGCCAGCAUCAUAUGCUGGCUGUCCGGGUGUGUAAAAUACACCCGUUAGCAAGGGCCGGGCAAGACCGGUGCCAGCCGCCGCGGUAACACCGGCGGCCCGAGUGGUGAUCGUGAUUAUUGGGUCUAAAGGGUCCGUAGCCGGUUUGGUCAGUCCUCCGGGAAAUCUGACGGCUUAACCGUUAGGCUUUCGGAGGAUACUGCCAGGCUUGGAACCGGGAGAGGUAAGAGGUACUACAGGGGUAGGAGUGAAAUCUUGUAAUCCCUGUGGGACCACCUGUGGCGAAGGCGUCUUACCAGAACGGGUUCGACGGUGAGGGACGAAAGCUGGGGGCACGAACCGGAUUAGAUACCCGGGUAGUCCCAGCCGUAAACGAUGCUCGCUAGGUGUCAGGCAUGGCGCGACCGUGUCUGGUGCCGUAGGGAAGCCGUGAAGCGAGCCACCUGGGAAGUACGGCCGCAAGGCUGGAACUUAAAGGAAUUGGCGGGGGAGCACAACAACGGGUGGAGCCUGCGGUUUAAUUGGAGUCAACGCCGGA
RNAcentral lists this ribosomal RNA (750 nucleotides) under uncultured archaeon. Its description in RNAcentral is "bacterial SSU rRNA". It matches the Rfam family "Archaeal small subunit ribosomal RNA", at positions 174 to 922 of the family's 1478-position model. The record is from RNAcentral.